This 922-nucleotide ribosomal RNA is filed under the name Bacteroidetes bacterium enrichment culture clone L55B-11. Its description in RNAcentral is "bacterial SSU rRNA". It matches the Rfam family "Bacterial small subunit ribosomal RNA", at positions 8 to 916 of the family's 1533-position model. Lineage: Bacteria; Pseudomonadati; Bacteroidota. RNAcentral also lists the same sequence under 1 other name. The record is from RNAcentral.
AGAGUUUGAUCAUGGCUCAGGAUGAACGCUAGCGGCAGGCUUAAUACAUGCAAGUUGAGGGGCAGCAUGAUAUACGCGAGUAUAUUGAUGGCGACCGGCGGACGGGUGAGUAAAAGGUAGGAGACCUACCUCAUACAGGGGGAUAGCAUAGAGAAAUCUGUGGUAAUACCCCAUGAGGUUAUAUGAAUAGAGGCAUAUAAUCAAAGUAUACGAGAGUAUGCGGUAUGAGAUGGGCCUACUGACCAUUAGCUAGUUGGUGAGGUAAGGGCUCACCAAGGCGAAGAUGGUUAGGGGUUUUGAGAGAGAGAUCCCCCACAUUGGAACUGAGAUACGGUCCAGACUCCUACGGGAGGCAGCAGUAGGGAAUAUUGGGCAAUGGGCGGAAGCCUGACCCAGCCAUGCCGCGUGAAGGAAGACGGCCUUAUGGGUUGUAAACUUCUUUACUAUACGAAUAGAGGUUAGUACGAGAUACUAAUAGGAAGGUAGUAUAGCAAAAAGCACCGGCUAACUCCGUGCCAGCAGCCGCGGUAAUACGGAGGGUGCAAGCGUUAUUCGGAAUUACUGGGUUUAAAGGGUGCGUAGGCGGUUAUAUAAGUUGUCAGUGAAAGGCUACGGCUCAACUGUAGUAGUGCUGGCGAUACUGUAUAGCUAAGAACAUGGGAGGGGUACCUGGAAUGUGUGGUGUAGCGGUGAAAUGCAUAGAUAUCACACAGAACACCGGAGGCGAAGGCGGGGUACUAGACCAUAGUUGACGCUGAGGCACGAAAGCGUGGGGAGCAAACAGGAUUAGAUACCCUGGUAGUCCACGCCCUAAACGAUGAUCACUAGAUAUUGGCGACAGACAGUCAGUGUCCAAGCGAAAGUGAUAAGUGAUCCACCUGGGGAAUACGGCCGCAAGGUUAAAACUCAAAUUAAUUGACGG